AGAUCAAAACAAAAAAUGAGAUACAAAAUAUGAGAAGUAUUACCUCCAUUUUAGGUUAAGAUGUUCUAUUUUUUCUGAGAUUCAUCUGAAUAUUAAUGAAUCCGACAUAUAUAUAUAAAUCAUAUAUAUUGGUUCAUGGAUGAAUCUAAAAAAAUAAAACAUCUUAUAAACUAAAACGGUUUGACUUCUACAAGCUUUCUAUCCAUCAUUC
This 211-nucleotide long non-coding RNA is filed under the name Oryza brachyantha (malo sina). RNAcentral describes it as "long non-coding RNA (OBRA_LNC002162)". The record is from RNAcentral. Lineage: Eukaryota; Viridiplantae; Streptophyta; Magnoliopsida; Poales; Poaceae.